This is a non-coding RNA of Phrynosoma platyrhinos (Desert horned lizard), 71 nucleotides long. The record is from the annotation of a GenBank genome assembly. NCBI's taxonomy places the organism in Eukaryota, Metazoa, Chordata, Lepidosauria, Squamata, Phrynosomatidae.
GUCAGUGGUGUAGUGGUUUUGAACAUUGGACUAUGACUCUGGAGACCAGGGUUCAAAUCCUGGCUUGGCCA